RNAcentral lists this ribosomal RNA (460 nucleotides) under uncultured bacterium. RNAcentral describes it as "partial 16S ribosomal RNA". It matches the Rfam family "Bacterial small subunit ribosomal RNA", at positions 338 to 795 of the family's 1533-position model. The record is from RNAcentral.
CCUACGGGUGGCAGCAGUGGGGAAUAUUGGUCAAUGGGCGCGAGCCUGAACCAGCCACGCAGCGUGAAGGAUGACUGCCCUCCGGGUUGUAAGCUUCUUUUAUAAAGGAGUAAAGUGAGGCACGUGUGCCUUUAUGUCUGUACUUUAUGAAUACGGAUCGGCUAACUCCAUGCCAGCAGCCGCGGUAAUACGGAGGAUCCGAGCGUUAUCCGGAUUUAGUGGGUGUAAAGGGAGCGUAGAUGGGUUGUUAAGUCAGUUGUGAAAGUUUGCGGCUCAACCGUAAAAUUGCAAUUGAUACUGGAUGUCUGGAGUACAGUUGAGGUAGGUGGAAUUCGUGGUGUAGCGGUGAAAUGCUUAGAUAUCACGAAGAACUCCGAUGGCGAAGGCAGCUUACUAAACUGCCACUGACAUUGAUGCUCGAAAGUGUGGGGAUCAAACAGGAUUAGAUACCCUUGUAGUC